Molecule: ribosomal RNA, 684 nt
Filed under: uncultured bacterium
Lineage: Bacteria
Description: bacterial SSU rRNA
Rfam family: Bacterial small subunit ribosomal RNA
Source: RNAcentral
GUAGUCCACGCCCUAAACGAUGAGUACUAAACGUUGGGUAAAACCAGUGUUGAAGUUAACACAUUAAGUACUCCGCCUGAGUAGUACGUACGCAAGUAUGAAACUUAAAGGAAUUGACGGGACUCCGCACAAGCGGUGGAUCAUGUCGUUUAAUUCGAAGGUACCCGAAAAACCUCACCAGGUCUUGACAUGCUUUUGCAAAGUUGUAGAAAUACAGUGGAGGUUAUCAAUUGCACAGGUGGUGCAUGGUUGUCGUCAGCUCGUGUCGUGAGAUGUUGGGUUAAGUCCCGCAACGAGCGCAACCCUUGUUGUUAAUUGCCAGCAUGUAAUGAUGGGGACUUUAGCAAGACUGCCAGUGAUAAAUUGGAGGAGGGUGGGGACGACGUCAAAUCAUCAUGCCCCUUAUGACCUGGGCUACAAACGUGAUACAAUGGCUGUUACAAAGGGUAGCUAUAGCGUAAGCUUUUGGCGAAUCUCAAAAAAGCAGUCUCAGUUCGGAUUGAAGUCUGCAACUCGACUUCAUGAAGUUGGAAUCGCUAGUAAUCGCGAAUCAGCAUGUCGCGGUGAAUACGUUCCCAGGCCUUGUACACACCGCCCGUCACACCAUGGGAGUUGGAUUCACCCGAAGGCGCUGCGCUAACCGCAAGGAGGCAGGCGACCACGGUGGGUUUAGCGACUGGGGUG